RNAcentral lists this ribosomal RNA (216 nucleotides) under Glomeromycotina sp. RNAcentral's name for it is "partial small subunit ribosomal RNA". The stretch from base 40 to 216 matches the Rfam family "Eukaryotic small subunit ribosomal RNA", at positions 686 to 864 of the family's 1831-position model. Lineage: Eukaryota; Fungi; Glomeromycota. The record is from RNAcentral.
GGGUCAGUAGGUUGGUCGUGCCACCGGUACGUACUGGUCUCACUGAUUCCUCCUUCCUGAAGAACCGUAAUGCCAUUAAUUUGGUGUUGCGGGGAAACAGGACUGUUACUUUGAAAAAAUUAGAGUGUUUAAGGCAAGCUAACGCUUGAAUACAUUAGCAUGGAAUAAUGAAAUAGGGCGAUCGAUCCUAUUUUGUUGGUUUCUAGGAUUGACGUA